RNAcentral lists this long non-coding RNA (1000 nucleotides) under Olea europaea subsp. europaea. The record is from RNAcentral. Lineage: Eukaryota; Viridiplantae; Streptophyta; Magnoliopsida; Lamiales; Oleaceae.
GCAAAAAGAUUAAGACUCUUAGAACUGACAAUGGGCUGGAAUUCUGCCAUAUAGAAUUAGAUCAGUAUUGUGGCAAUCAAGGCAUAUUGAGACAUAAAAUUAUUACCUAUAUACCCUAGCAUAAUGGGAUUUCUGAGAGACCAAAUAGAACUAUCCUUGAGAGGACCAGAUGUAUGCUAAUUAGUUCGGGCAUGCCAAAAAUAUUUUAGGGAGAAGCAGUAAAGACAGCAUGUUACCUAUUGAAUAGAUGCCCUUCUAGUUCCUUAAAUAAUAGAAUCCCUGAGCAGAUUUGGUCUAGUUCUAUGCCUGAUUGCUCCCAUGUUAGGACUUUUGGAUGUGCUGCAUAUGCAAUUAUAAUCACUCAAAAUUGGAUCCUAAGUCACAAAAGUGUGUCUUCUUAGGAUAUGGAGAAAGAGAUAAAUGUUAUAGACUUUGGUUAAGGGAUAUUAGAGGUUAUAAAGUGAUAAUAAGCAGGUCUGUGAUUUUUAAUGAGAAUGAUUUUACAUGUCGUAGUGACAAGAUCAAUGAAAAGAUAAGGGAUGAUGAUUUUAUUAUCACUGAAAUUGACUUAAAUAAGGAAAAUACUAAUGUGCAGGUUCCCCUUGAGGUGGAGCAGCCUCAAACAGAACUUAACAAAAAUCCAGAUGUUGAAAUUUUGAAUGAUAAUCAAGAUUUAAGUGUAAUACAUUAAGUUAAAAAAAAAAGUGAAACACAAAAAAGGGUACAAAAGAUAAAACAAAAGUGGCAGGCAGUGGAAAACUCAUACAAAUCCAAAACCAAUUUAAUAACACACGCACAAGAAAACGGACCAAAGAGAAAGAAGAAGAGAGAAAAGAGAGAAAAAAAAAACGGAAAAAGAAGAGAAAAAAAGGAAAAAUUCGUCAACAUAUUAGGAAUUAAGUGAGUUAUACUAUUAGGUUUGAAUUCCUCAAUUUUGAAAGGUAAGAAAAAGUUACUUAUUGAAAGAUUAUGUUUGAUUUUAUAGUUGUUAGAUUGUUAG